UUCGCAAUGCCCGAAAGGGUGACGAAGCGACGCCGCGUGUGGGAAGAAGGCCUUCGGGUUGUAAACCACUGUCGGGAGUUAAGAAAUGCAAGGAUAUUAAUAGUGUCUUUGUUUGACUAAGGCUCCGGAGGAAGCCACGGCUAACUCUGUGCCAGCAGCCGCGGUAAUACAGAGGCGGCAAGCGUUGUUCGGAAUUAUUGGGCGUAAAGAGCACGUAGGCGGCUAUGUAAGUCAGUUGUGAAAGCCUUCUGCUUAACGGAAGAACAGCAUCUGAUACUGCAAGGCUAGAGUGCGGAAGGGGAGAGUGGAACUUCUGGUGGAGCGGUGAAAUGCGUAGAUAUCAGAAGGAACACCGGCGGCGAAGGCGACUCUCUGGUCCGUAACUGACGCUGAGUGUGCGAAAGCUAGGGGAGCAAACGGGAUUAGAUACCCCGGUAGUCCUAGCCGUAAACGAUGGGCACUAAGUAGAGGGGUUUU
RNAcentral lists this ribosomal RNA (477 nucleotides) under uncultured anaerobic ammonium-oxidizing bacterium. RNAcentral's name for it is "bacterial SSU rRNA". It matches the Rfam family "Bacterial small subunit ribosomal RNA", at positions 365 to 832 of the family's 1533-position model. The record is from RNAcentral.